This 936-nucleotide unclassified non-coding RNA is filed under the name Hevea brasiliensis (rubber tree). The record is from RNAcentral. Lineage: Eukaryota; Viridiplantae; Streptophyta; Magnoliopsida; Malpighiales; Euphorbiaceae.
AAUAAUUUGACCCAAGAAUCUAUAUGCAUUCCCACAACUAAAACGUAAACAUACAUUGAGAUACCAAACCAAAUCCAAAACAUAUUUAUCUUCGCUGAAAUAUGUAAAGCAAUGAAUCAAGAGUUUAGUUGUAGGAAACAUCCAUUUCAAUCAGAAUUAUCAGAUCCCAUUAAACAAGAAAACCAUAGUCACCAAAAAAUUCUCAAAAUUGACAUUACUCGUUAAAAAUAAUCCAAGUUACUCCAAAAAAACAAAGCAUUUAGGACAUAGUUAAUCAUAAAUUGCACAGCACCAAAAUUUUCCAACAUGCUUAAACUAAAACCAAAGCCUCCAUAGCUGCAGCAAAACGGUAUAAAAGGAAAUAGAAGUAAGACUUCCAACAUUUAAAACCUCCCCCCUGGUCUACCACCAGCGCCACCUCUACCAAAUCCGAACUGGGUCACGGGAACAGCAACCGGGUCGACCUGAACAAUCCCAGGAAUAUCACCCAUACCCAGAGCAGAAAGCAUGUCAAUAGUCUCCUUAUCGACCUCAAUCUGAUCAGUCUUGAUGGCGGAGACCUCAGGAACAAAGUCCAUGCGGCGCUCGCGCUCUUCCUCCUGAAGCUUAAGCGAGAUCCCGCGAACGGGUCCCUUCUGGAUCCGCUUCAUGAGAUGGGUAGAAAACCCAGCAAUCUUGUUGCGGAGGCGCUUUGAAGGGAUGAUAGCGACCUCCUCAAGAAUCUUCUUGUUGGUGUGGAAGUCGAGGGUCAUGCGAGAGUAGUAGCGCUCUAUCACUUGGCGUGAGGAUUUCUUCACAGUCUUGGUACGGACGCGUCCCAUUUUUUGUGGUGGCUCCUUCCAAUUACAGACGCUCUCUGCGCAGGGUGGGUGGGUGCAGCGGCCGCAGACAAGGAAUAGGGUAUAAGGUUUUGUUAGUAUAUAUGACUAAUGGGCA